GUGUUCAUGGUGCAACGGCAGCACACCGGGUUGUGGUCCCGGAGAUGGUGGGUUCGAUUCCCCCUGAUCACC
Molecule: transfer RNA, 72 nt
Filed under: Actinoallomurus bryophytorum
Lineage: Bacteria; Bacillati; Actinomycetota; Actinomycetes; Streptosporangiales; Thermomonosporaceae
Rfam family: tRNA
About the family: Transfer RNA (tRNA) molecules are approximately 80 nucleotides in length. Their secondary structure includes four short double-helical elements and three loops (D, anti-codon, and T loops).
Source: Rfam by way of RNAcentral